UAGUGAACACCUGUGCUAUGCUUUUAUGGAAGUUAUAUUCAAGUCAGAGGAACAGAUGGUGAAUAAGUAACUUGAAUAAUUACAUAUUGUGUUAAGAGAGGGAAGAAAUGAAAUAUUUGCGUUGACAAAAAUUACAGGAGCAAGAACUAGAUGAGAUGAGGAAAUUAAGAAACAUCUCGCUGUAAAGGAGGGUACUAGUUGAGACCUAAAGGAUGUCAAGAGGAAUAUCGUAUGCUUUAGAAAAUAACAGCUGAGGAAAGAAGGAAGAUGUAGAGCAAAGCUGUAGGCAGAUAAGAAGUGGAUAUGUUUGGAAGAAGGCCAGAAGGGCUGUAGCCAAGGAAAAAGAAUUUCCCUGGAGGACACAGUGUGAACAGCAGAUAUUCUCUCCAUCUCAAAAGGAAAUCCAUCAGUCAGAGAUCUCUGGACCCGGAGCGCCAACGGAGGCAGGCCAUUCUCCACAAAGUAUUGCCUUGUCUUCCAGCUUCUUGAACCUCCGUGAGUCUUGCUGUUCUCUGGGAAGGGCAGAAGUGACUGGGGCACAGGGAAAGCACUCACCUUGAAUUCUGCUUCACCUCUGACCAUGAGCAUCUCUAACUGGCUCCUGUGAUUCAGCUUUUAGCAGAGACUGUAGAUUAGGACCUAUUUAAAGACCUUUAAAGUCUGGCCUUUCCCUUCCCCAAGCAUUAAUUUUCCCCCUCCUGCUACGCCCCCCUGCCUCCCACUCUGGCUUUCUCUGAGACCAGAGAGUGAAGCUAGAAGCAUUAACCCCUAACUUUCCUCUGUCCUCUGUGUACACAAAUGCAAAGGGUGGGGAAUUGAAUGCAUGGCCAAGAAUGUGUAUUGUUGAGAAUACACAGUUGUGAGCUUAUCGCUAUGCAUGUAUUUUUGUUAAAGAGUAUUUACAAUUGAGGAGAUAUUUUAUACAAUGUGAAAGCAUGUUGAUGCUUGUUGAUGUGUAUACCUGAGAGAUGUGUUAAGAAACGUGUGUAAGGGGGAUCCCUGGGUGGCGCAGUGGUUUGGCGCCUGCCUUUGGCCCAGGGCGCGAUCCUGGAGACCCGGGAUCGAAUCCCACGUCGGGCUCCGGGUGCAUGGAGCCUGCUUCUCCAACUGCCUGUGUCUCUGCCUCUCUCUCUCUCUCUCUCUCUGUAUGACUAUCAUAAAUAAAUUUAAAAAAAAUUAAAAAAAUUAAUAAACGUGUGUAAGCCUGGAUUUGCCUGUGAAUGUAUGUGCAUAACCUUGUGAAUAAUCAUUUGUGGUAAGUAUACACAUUUAGUGGGAUAGCAUGGCUCUGUGAGUACAAGGCCACUGCAUACACAUACUUUGUGAAGACAUAUGCUGAGCUCCAAAGCUGACAGUGUGAGAUUAUACAUCAGUGUGUGUAUAUACAUGGGCAUGUA
This 1397-nucleotide long non-coding RNA is filed under the name Canis lupus familiaris (dog). RNAcentral's name for it is "lncRNA (ENSCAFG00845012034.1)". The record is from RNAcentral. Lineage: Eukaryota; Metazoa; Chordata; Mammalia; Carnivora; Canidae.